Molecule: long non-coding RNA, 1484 nt
Organism: Juglans regia (Persian walnut)
Lineage: Eukaryota; Viridiplantae; Streptophyta; Magnoliopsida; Fagales; Juglandaceae
Exons: 3
Source: RefSeq, a predicted model, not a curated record
ACUACUCUGUAUUCUUCUGGAAAAGAUUUAUCACUCAGCAAUUCAACUAAUGACAAAGCUUCCAAAUAAUAUCUAAAUGCCAAGCCUUUGUAAUACACGUGAGCAUGGCUAAACGGACUGACUUUCGGGUAACAGAUAUUCUUUUGUUUCUUGAAUUAUGCUAAAAAUUAAAACUACAAUUUGCAGAUAUCUGGUCAAGGCUUCUUGGUGAUUAGAGUACUCAUGUUUAUCUUGGCAGAAAUCAUAGAGAAGAUUAUAAAAGGGUGAAAAAUCCUUAAAAAAGUAUAGGAGAUUAUACUUACAGCAAAGAGUAGAUCCAUAGAGAAGAUAUGAACGAGUACAUCACCAUCAUCAGCGAUACAUACUACUACUACUAACAGCAAAUACAUAUUCCAUACAUCAGGACAGAUGAUUCUGAGUAGAGAAGGGUGUUUCUCUUCUACCCGACGUAACGUCGCUGUAUGUGUUUCUGGACCACAAUGACUGGAGCAGUACAAAGGAUUGUAACUUCUUUCACACUGUCAGCUACACAUUUUCUUUCUUUUUACCAUAUUUAUGUUGGGAGAUGUUGUGCAGUUGAAUUGGACUUUAUGCCAGAGGAUUAGACAAGACAAAUAUGUACAGGCUACUUUGUUAGCAAACAAAGGAAGUUUAGAGGAAAAUGACUUCCCAUCCACGCUUAUAUUUUUUUAAUUUUCCCUUUCUGAGCAGCAGAUAAUCAAACUAGUAGAAAACGACAAAUAAGAGUGAAAAUUCCCUUCAUUGUUAUCACCACUCGAGUGCAGGUUCAUUUUAUAAUGUUAGUUUGGUCUGGUCUUGUUCACUCUAGGGAACUCUUGUCUUCUCUCUUAUUUUAGGCCCACAUGUUGGGGAAAGGUCGCUUUUGGCACAUGGGUGCUGACACUAUACGGGUUGGGGUAUAAGGGUAUUACUCUCCUUUCCCUUUCAGCUUAUUGAAAUGUUUUUAUUUGGAUCUAUAAGUUUUGUGGAAGCCAGGUCCCUUGUGUGCUGACAGAUUUAGCUUUUGCUCCUGCAUGGAGCCCAAUUGCUGCUUUCCUAAACAGGAAUUGUCUAAAACUGACCCUCCACAACGUCUCCCAACAUAAAUAUGAUAUGAUUGCAACAAUCCUGACAAUCAGGCUAAAGAUUGAUGGAGUCUCUUCUAUGCAAGUUGCUUUUGUUGCUGGAUGUAAAUAUACAGAAAUGCCAUCGCUCAUAAAGGUUUCCAUGCAAUGUGGGGUGGAAGGAAGGGAAAGUCAUGGAAGUUGGAGGAAGAGACUGUUGUGACAUUCUAUACACGGCUACUAAAAAUGUUACAGAAGUGAAAUAUAGGCCUUGCGGGAAGGAUAAAGUAAUUGCCUAACUUCAACAUCAAAUUACUCAGCUUCUUGUAUUUUUUUUAAUAAGAUUGUUUUAGUAAUGUGCAUUUUAUUUUCAAAUUUUACAUGGCAACAUGCAUGUUUUUCUGUUGUCUUAAAAGUUCA